UUUUAUCUUUUAUUUAAAAACAACACUUAAUUAAAAAGAUCCCUCUUCCAGUUAUCUGGUCAAAUACAGAAGUUGACUACUUUACGCAGAUCCCUCAUCCAGUUAUCUGGUCAACUAUUUGAGGUUAUAUUCAUUGCUUUAAAUCCUUAUAUUUGUUCAAGUAUUACUUAUCAUAUUUAUCCAGUUAUCUGGUCACUUACUUGUUUAUCAAUAUAUCCAGUUAUCUGGUCAUUUACUUGCUUAUCAAUAUAUCCAGUUAUCUGGUCAUUUACUCUAUAAUACAAUUUGUGUUUACAAUAUAACGUAGUAUUCA
Molecule: long non-coding RNA, 313 nt
Filed under: Zostera marina
Lineage: Eukaryota; Viridiplantae; Streptophyta; Magnoliopsida; Alismatales; Zosteraceae
Description: long non-coding RNA (ZMAR_LNC001985)
Source: RNAcentral